CACCUUUUAGUGCUAAACAUAAUGCCAGGUGUUUUGCUUCACAUUUAUGAGGAAUCUGCGGUCAAACCUGUCUUGUUCUUGGUGGCCUGCCAGGAGGAGGAGGAGGAGGAGGAG
Podarcis muralis (Common wall lizard) is the source of this 114-nucleotide non-coding RNA. Lineage: Eukaryota; Metazoa; Chordata; Lepidosauria; Squamata; Lacertidae. The record is from RefSeq and is a predicted model, not a curated record.